UACGGAGGGUGCAAGCGUUAUCCGGAUUCACUGGGUUUAAAGGGUGCGUAGGCGGGCAGGUAAGUCCGUGGUGAAAUCUCUGAGCUUAACUCAGAAACUGCCAUGGAUACUAUUUGUCUUGAAUGUUGUGGAGGUAAGCGGAAUAUGUCAUGUAGCGGUGAAAUGCUUAGAUAUGACAUAGAACACCAAUUGCGAAGGCAGCUCACUACACAAUCAUUGACGCUGAGGCACGAAAGCGUGGGGAGCAAACAGG
RNAcentral lists this ribosomal RNA (253 nucleotides) under uncultured bacterium. RNAcentral describes it as "partial 16S ribosomal RNA". It matches the Rfam family "Bacterial small subunit ribosomal RNA", at positions 524 to 776 of the family's 1533-position model. The record is from RNAcentral.